This 1415-nucleotide long non-coding RNA is filed under the name Junco hyemalis (dark-eyed junco). RNAcentral's name for it is "lncRNA (ENSJHYG00000013941.1)". Lineage: Eukaryota; Metazoa; Chordata; Aves; Passeriformes; Passerellidae. The record is from RNAcentral.
GUGGGUGUUUGCUUUUGUCAUCCUUGGCGCCGCUUUCCAACCGCUCCGAAAUGAAAACAUUUCUAUACCCACCAGGGCCUAUUUUUCAUCACCUCAGAGCAGCAUGGACCAAGAAUAACUUUGCUGAGAGCCAGAAAAUCCACACAGAGGCUUGAGGCAGCCUGGCAGAUACCCCCUGUUUGCCACGAGCAGAAAAACAUCUCAGGGCCAGCCCCAUCCUGAUGAACAUCCCUCCCACACUGGGGAGAAUUCAGCAUGGGUGGCACAUGUGGUCCUUUCUGCCAAAGAGAAAACUCUGCCAAAAUCCCAUCCCUUCAAGCAGAAAGAUCCAGCCUGGAGGAAUCCAACGUGCCUGGAGAAUUGCUGGGGGAAACCACAACAACAAACCUGCAGAGAGAAUGGAGCUGGCAAAGGCAAGAACACCAGCGUGGCUGCCAUCCUUCCCACUGCCCUGCAGAAAAGCCUUUCCUACCUUAUCAAACAUUAUCAAACAUUAUCACCUUGCUUGGAGCACCAUUUCAAGAAGCAACAUCCUGGUUGCAAAUCACCUUCUUCAUUUUGAUACUUGCUGGAGCAAAACCAUCCAAGUUACAGCUCAGGUUUGGAGAGGGGAGGAAGCGUUUGCAACUGGUGAGCUGGUGGGGGAAAAGAAUGAGUUUUCAAGUUGCCUGAGAACAGCUGCACGCUUUAAAGGUCAAGAAUUUGUGUGGGUAACAGGUACAGCUCAUCAGCCAUCUUCUGGAGAUGGAAGCAGAUGAAAGGAAUGAGAGAAGCUCUCAGAACCAUGAGGUCACUGCUGGCAGCAGCGGCAGCCACCCCGUGCAGCAGAGAUCCCCCUUUGUUCUGCGCCCAAGUCAGAGGGGAUGGAUGCACCAGGCUCUGGAGCAGCCUGCAGAGCACAGGCAGAGCGUGGGUGCUUUCUUUUUCUGCCAGGGACAAUCCAAGCAAAACUCAACCUCCUUCUUCCUUCAGCUGAAAGAAAGCAUCAACAAGAAGACAGAAAUUCUGGCCUGAAAAGCAGCCAAGCACUGCUGAGUGCUGGCCCGUGGUCCUUGCACAGGGGGAUAAUGAGAAUUACUGAAGUGCCUUUGAAAAGCGCCUUGAGAUUGUGCCAUCUUGUGUCCUCCUGGAACACUGGGAUGGAGGAACCAGUGUUCCUGGUUCCUGGCCAGCCUUGGAGCAGGGCCAGCCUCCCAUGCUGCACUCUCUGCUGGCUGGGCACUUUGAACCAUUGCAGGGCAGCCCCAGGACUUCUGCUCACCCUCAGCCCCUCUGGCAAAUGGAGGGAGCCAGGCUGCUUUGGGGGUGUAGGAACAGAGAGAUGCAGCAUUGGAGGUCCCCCCAUCUCAUAAAGGCAUCCUCAAAAUGAACCCUGCUAAGAAAAAUAAAUGUUCGCACCCCCUGUGCUCCUGACA